UAGUAAACAAAACAGCAUUAGAGUUGUUAGAAAAGUAUUCCUAUGGCUUGCAAUAUUGGCGGCAAACUUGGGUGCACACUAAUCUUCACUUAAUCCAAGUUGUCUUUCUACCCGAUGAAUUGGAUGAUGCUAUGCAGUUUUAAAAUAAAGAAGUGAUUUCUUCCGAAGGCUUUUUUUUUGUUGUUGUCAUUCAGGUUUUUGAUGCACUGUGCGACUUUGUAGUUGUGGCAAACACUGUUAACCUGAGAGAGCCGCGCGGAAAUAAGCAAUUGUUAGAUUUGGCAAUAUGAAAGAUCUGUGUUUGACAAUGACCCAAUGCCAUUUUGGCAGUUUUCGUAAGAAAGAUGGGACUGCCAGAUAUGUGGCAACCACUUCUUUGUGGUAGCUGAAUGUCUCCAGUCAGGGGUAUCAUCUUUAAUAAUGCCAAAUUUGAUUUGAAAUAGGAAACUACCAAUAAGUGCACUUCAUCUUCACUCUGUGUUAAGUAUUAGCUUGGUGGUGUCUUCGCUUUGAGGCUGGAUAGUUCCAAGUUCAAAUAUGAUUCUUCUGAAGAACUGCCAAAUAUGUGGAUCUGUUGCUGGCUAAAUUCAUUGAAGCCAAAUGUUCUCUACCUGGUGUAAUACGGAAAUUUGAAGAAGAGUUGCUGCUUCAAAUGUCGUCUUCGUCAUCUGACCAUGAUUCAAACUUAUGAGAUUGCAAACAAGUUUGUACAAGUGCUAAGAAAACUGUUGAAGAGAGAAGAAAGGAUCAGGAAAAAUGAGGAUGAAUGAAAAUAAAUAGAAAGUGAUUUGUGUCCAUUUAAUACAGAAAUGUAAAACUGACUGGUAAUAUGCAUUUAAGAGAACUAUUAUUGUAUAAAAGAUAAAAAUGACAUAAAUAAACAUGUGAUUACCUUAAUAA
This is a long non-coding RNA of Argiope bruennichi, 900 nucleotides long. RefSeq lists it as uncharacterized. The transcript has 4 exons. The record is from RefSeq and is a predicted model, not a curated record. NCBI's taxonomy places the organism in Eukaryota, Metazoa, Arthropoda, Arachnida, Araneae, Araneidae.